Molecule: ribosomal RNA, 746 nt
Filed under: uncultured low G+C Gram-positive bacterium
Lineage: Bacteria; Bacillati; Bacillota
Description: bacterial SSU rRNA
Rfam family: Bacterial small subunit ribosomal RNA
Source: RNAcentral
GCCCUUAGAGUUUGAUCAUGGCUCAGGACGAACGCUGGCGGCGUGCCUAAUACAUGCAAGUCGAGCGCGGGAAGUAAGAUGACCCCUUCGGGGUGAUUCUUGUGGAACGAGCGGCGGACGGGUGAGUAACACGUGGGCAACCUGCCUGUAAGACUGGGAUAACUCGCGGAAACGUGAGCUAAUACCGGAUAAUACUUUUCUUUACCUAAGGAGAAGUUGAAAGGCGGCUUUUCGGAGCUGUCACUUACAGAUGGGCCCGCGGCGCAUUAGCUAGUUGGUAGGGUAAUGGCCUACCAAGGCGACGAUGCGUAGCCGACCUGAGAGGGUGAUCGGCCACACUGGGACUGAGACACGGCCCAGACUCCUACGGGAGGCAGCAGUAGGGAAUCUUCCGCAAUGGACGAAAGUCUGACGGAGCAACGCCGCGUGAACGAUGAAGGUUUUCGGAUCGUAAAGUUCUGUUGUUAGGGAAGAACAAGUACCGUUCAAAAUAGGGCGGUACCUUGACGGUACCUAACGAGGAAGCCCCGGCUAACUACGUGCCAGCAGCCGCGGUAAUACGUAGGGGGCAAGCGUUGUCCGGAAUUAUUGGGCGUAAAGCGCGCGCAGGCGGUUUUUUAAGUCUGAUGUGAAAUCUUGUGGCUCAACCACAAGCGGUCAUUGGAAACUGGAGAACUUGAGUACAGAAGAGGAGAGUGGAAUUCCACGUGUAGCGGUGAAAUGCGUAGAUAUGUGGAGGAACACCA